Molecule: ribosomal RNA, 253 nt
Filed under: uncultured bacterium
Lineage: Bacteria
Description: partial 16S ribosomal RNA
Rfam family: Bacterial small subunit ribosomal RNA
Source: RNAcentral
UACGAAGGGGGCUAGCGUUGUUCGGAAUUACUGGGCGUAAAGGGCGCGUAGGCGGCGUGUCAAGUCAGGCGUGAAAGCCCCGGGCUCAACCUGGGAACCGCGCUUGAGACUGGCAUGCUCGAGUUCGGGAGAGGAUGGUGGAAUUCCCAGUGUAGAGGUGAAAUUCGUAGAUAUUCGGCGGAACACCAGUGGCGAAGGCGACUCACUGGCCCGAUACUGACGCUGAGGCGCGAAAGCGUGGGGAGCAGACAGG